CAUAUUAUGAGAAAACAUUUUCUUCGGUUUUGGUGGUCCAUGUUUAUUAUCGGAAGCUUUGCUAUUUAAAAAACAUUUAAAACAAUAUCAACAAUGCUUGUCCGGUGUCCAAAUCAAAAUAGAUUUUCAUGUUUAUAAUCAAAGAUUUGUGUACACCAUUUGGCAUGUACUGUUCCACACGUAGAUUUGUACCUGAAAUUUGUUGACUUGCAAAUUGUUUUCCCUUAUUGUAUUAACAAAACAAUACACUGUGUAAAUAUGUUUAUUCUUCAUCUUCGGUGAAUAUCCUAGCGAGAGGGUAAAAAUACACUACCGUAUAGAACCCUCUAAAGAUAAAUAUUUUAGGUAAUUUUUUUAUAAAAGAUACUCUACUAAGAAUAUUCCCGUUAAACAAUUGAUUGUAGUGAAACUGUACUUACUUUUUGAAUCUUUAAUUAAAAAUCCCGUUAUUACAGUUAUUAAUAAAAUUAUUUUCCAAAAUGUCUUAUCAUUUUUUCUUUAACGUUAAAAGUUAUCUAUACAAUAAUUAAAAACCAGUGAAGUCGACCUCAAGAAAUAUUAGAAGCUAUAAGUCACUAAUAAGUCAACAGUGGAAGAUUGGAAAUGAAUGAGAUGAACAAAAUUUUCUUUUGGUGAAGUAGAAUUUCGUCAGGUGGCGUUCGUGUAGGAAUUGUUUAAUUUAUAGGAUAAAGGAUUGAGUUCUUCUUCAUUUUGAGCAUAAAAAUUGAGAGAAACACAAGUGCUAACUAAUCAAUAUCAUUUUUGUCAAAUCUGCUUAAACAAUUCACCGAAAAAAAUGGUUUUCUACAGAAUACUGUUCGAUUUUUUUGGCAAUUUAGUGUUUGUGCUUCAUUGUGAUAUCGCAAUUUCCUCGGCUUUAAAAUGAGUUUGUUCAAGAAAUGUGUUAUUAAUAAAAACUACUCAUUUUUGGACGAUGUCGAAGAUGUUUUAGUGUUUUUUCAUCUGGUAAAAAACAGCUUAGCUUCCAAAACACGUGUCGAAUCCGCAAUGAAUUGUAACAAUAAACAAUUACACAAGUUACGUACUCGCGAAAAGACAAAAAAUAAAAAAGGAAUCAUAUGCCAACUUAUGCCAGAAACAGUACUGUUUCUAAAAGUAAAUUUAAUGAUAAUUACAAUAUAUCUUAAAUUCGUAUCAUUAAUGAAUAUAUAUAGAUAUUACAAUAACAUUGCAACUCUUACUUUUCAAAGACCUGAAAGAAAGGGACUGAAAGCAAAAACAAAUUACAUGCAUAUCUAAAAUGAUUUUAUAUUUACAUAUGUUUUAAAAUGAUAAUAUAAUCCAAACGCCACCAUGCUAAUUAAUCAUAAUUAGUAUGCGUGUGGACAUUCUUUCUUUAGUGUUAAAAUUAGUUCUAAAACAGUUUGUUUUCUGUUUACAGAUGCAUUCAAUUUUUACACGUGUUAGACAAAAUUAUUUUUACGACAAACAUUCUUAAAUCUUCGCUAAAAAUACUCGUUAUUUGACAGCACUGUAGCCGGAGUGCCAAAUUUUUCAAGAUCAAGGAGAAUGCACUAGAAAAGUUCUACAGGAAACUGAAUUUCUAGAGUUUUCUUCCAAAAAUAAUAAGUAUUAAUGUAAACAAUAAUACUAUUUAGAGAAAUUUCCAUUGUAGAAAAUGUAUAUGUGUAGCUACUCAAAUUUAAAAUGCUUUUUCAAUAAUACUAUUUGUGUUAUAAGUGUAAAAACUAAUAAAAUAUUAAAUUUUAAA
This 1732-nucleotide long non-coding RNA is filed under the name Agrilus planipennis (emerald ash borer). Its description in RNAcentral is "uncharacterized LOC112904751". Lineage: Eukaryota; Metazoa; Arthropoda; Insecta; Coleoptera; Buprestidae. The record is from RNAcentral.